This 500-nucleotide ribosomal RNA is filed under the name uncultured bacterium. Its description in RNAcentral is "bacterial SSU rRNA". It matches the Rfam family "Bacterial small subunit ribosomal RNA", at positions 29 to 505 of the family's 1533-position model. The record is from RNAcentral.
AACGAACGCUGGCGGCGUGCUUAACACAUGCAAGUCGAACGCGAAAGCGGUCUUCGGACUGCGAGUAGAGUGGCGCACGGGUGAGUAACGCGUAGAUAAUCUACCCUGGUGUUUGGGAUAACCAGCCGAAAGGCUGACUAAUACCGAAUAUUUUAAUACCUGUUGGGGUAUUGAUGAAAGGUGGCCUCUAUUUAUAAGCUAUCGCAUUGGGAUGAGUCUGCGUACCAUUAGCUUGUUGGUGGGGUAAAGGCUUACCAAGGCAACGAUGGUUAGCGGGUCUGAGAGGAUGAUCCGUCACACUGGCACUGGAACACGGGCCAGACCCCUACGGGAGGCAGCAGUGAGGAAUAUUGCGCAAUGGGGGAAACCCUGACGCAGCGACGCCGCGUGAGUGAGGAAGGCCUUCGGGUCGUAAAGCUCUGUCAGCAGGGAAGAAGUGCAUAGCGGUUAAUACCCGUUGUGUUUGACGGUACCUGCAGAGGAAGCACCGGCUAACUCCG